UGGCCGUGGAAAUGGCCGUGGUGG
Molecule: non-coding RNA, 24 nt
Filed under: Arabidopsis thaliana (thale cress)
Lineage: Eukaryota; Viridiplantae; Streptophyta; Magnoliopsida; Brassicales; Brassicaceae
Source: RNAcentral